UUUGCAGCAAUGCCUUGCGGCUAUACUGAAGCUUUUCCACCGCCCCUUUGAAAAAAAAAAGAAGUAUUUUUCUGAUUAGAUGUAAGGAUCGGCGCUCUCCAUUUUGCACUUCUUCUUGGAUAAAGUGGUCCAUCCAUCACUGUUCCCCAAUAACUGCCAGGAGGGGUCUGGUUGCAUGUUCCUAACUCGAAAUGUACCAGUCCCCGAGAAAAUAAUCGUAAAGGCUUCCUCUAUAUGCUGCUGACUACAAUUCCCAGAAUCCAAAGGGGCAAAGGGAAGGCUGUCUCUCUCUCUCAUUCUCUCUGUCUCUCUCUCUCUGCUGGUUCCAGAAGAUUUGAGUUGGAGGGGGCAAGAUUGGCAUCAAUGCCCACCCAGGCAGAAAUCACACCGGUCAACAGAGAGAUGUAGUUGGACCCCUGAGCUUAAAGAAGAUUCUUUUGGAGGGUCCCCAAGGUAGAUUAUCCAUCCCUGUUCACAGACUGAGAUGACGGAUGCUUUGAGUUUUGAUGCAGAUGGGACCAAACAGUGUGUUAAACCUGCUUCUGCUGUUUCUGGUGAUCUUCUUGCUCCCUGAAUAUUCGGCUUUGUUGGAGGUUGAUGGAGGCUGGGCGACAAGUGAGCACGCUUCCCUAGAGGAAGAAGAGGCCUGUACCAUAGAGAGGCGGGAUGCCAGACUAACCUAUUACCAGUUCAUUCAACAGUAAGGGGAAAUGACUUCUUCGGGAUUGCUGGACGUGUGGAGCAGGGGGCCAUAUUUCUGGGGGGAAACUGAAACCUGUGAUGGGGCACUUCAGAAUUGCACGGGGAAUGUGGAGUCCAUGAGAACCUUGCUCUGCCGUGGAAGCUCACUGGGACCUUUUCUGCACCUGCCUUUAGUCAGGAGCAAGGGCCACACAGGAAGCUUCUGAGCUUCAUAGAUCUGCAUGGUAAUGCAGUUCUGUGAGGCCUGACACACACACNCCCCUGCUGGAACAGGGAGACCCUCUUCAGUAUCCCCGGCAGUUAUGAUUAUGCAUGUCUACUGGCGUACCAGAGGGUUGAUCCAGGAGGCAUACAGAAGGAACACCUCCUAGGUGCUGGACUACCAAGAGACGCAUUUCAACGUCCCGCCAUAGCGCGGCACUGAAGUGCGUCCCCCAGAAUCUCCAAGGCUAGAAACUUUUGUUCCUAGCCCUCGGAGGUACCAGACGCUCGCAUGUGUUUCAAAGCCCUGGUGUGGGCUGGUCUAGUGUGGACUGGACCACUGCCAUCAUGCAGACNGUGCUGACCCUGUGGUCGCAGACCUACUGAUUCCGAUUACGGGCCUGUCAGUGCAGAAGGGCCCUGGGUCUUCCCCACCGAAGUUAAAACAGCCUCACGGCCUUUUGGGUGCCUUCAAUGGGGCACAGGACAUUUUCCCAUCACCUCCCGCAGCCAACCCA
Molecule: long non-coding RNA, 1421 nt
Filed under: Salvator merianae (Argentine black and white tegu)
Lineage: Eukaryota; Metazoa; Chordata; Lepidosauria; Squamata; Teiidae
Description: lncRNA (ENSSMRG00000020006.1)
Source: RNAcentral